CAGGUUCCCACUGAACGCAUCCGCAUUUAUGUGUGUGCGUGUGCGCGCGCAUGUGUAUGUAUAUGCGCGCGUGUUUGUGUGGGGAGCGUGUGUAUGCGCGCGCCCGGGUCCGUGGAGGGGGCGGGCUCUGAGCCCGGGGGCAGGGCUCCGCAGUGAAGAGUGGCAGCUGGACUUGCCAGGCUGCGAGGGACAGGGUGCAGAGCCGCAGUGCCGUAGUAGCGGGCUGGCGAGAUAGACUGCUUUCAAGCUGCGGAUCCCCCAGCAGAGGUGGAAGACCCUGGGAGCUGCCUAACCGCAGGCGGGUCGCUUUAUCUCCGAGCAGCGCACUGGAGCCGUCAUCCCCCCUCCCCCGAGAGGGCUGCGCGGGCGGGAAGACGCCGAGACGCCAGCUUCGGUCCCCUUUCUGUCUCUCGGUUCCUCUUUCCUCCCAAGUAAGGGAAUAAGAUUGGAGAAAGGAGCGCCCCAGGCAACCGCGCAACCAAGUGUUGCAUAGUGAGGAAAAGCCAAAAUUUGUGAAUUCACCUUGACUACAAACAGGAGAAUGUUACCUGAGGAAUAGCAGAAGAUUUUUCGCAACUUCAGAAACGUGCCUGCUGCUACCAUAGGCGCUUGAGUCCCUUGAGAAGUGUCCUGAAGGGCUCAUUUGUUGCACACCUGCAAUGAGCCAGUCCCUGUGCUGGGCCUCAGCUUCACCCUGGUGAACACAGUUCCAUCCCUGGCCUCAACGUGCUCACACCCAGUUUAAAGAUGAGCGAAGAGCAAUGGGUCUCUCUCACUCCCGAAGAAUUUGACCAACUUCAGAAAUACUCUGAAUAUUCCUCCAAGAAAAUAAAGGAUGUCUUGACUGAAUUUAAUGAGGGCGGAAGCCUCCAACAGUAUGGACCACAUGAGCCAGUUAGCUAUGAUGUCUUCAAGCUGUUCAUGAGAGCAUACCUGGAGGUAGACCUUCCUCAGCCCCUGAGCACCCACCUCUUCCUGGCCUUCAGUCAGAAGCCCAGACAUGAAACUCCUGACCACCCAAAGGAGGGAGCCAGCAGCAGCGAGCCCAGUGGCCCAGAUUCUAAUGUACAGAAUGCAGAUAAUGCUGCUAAAGCAGACGAGGCCUGUGCCCCUGAUACUGACUUGAAAAUGGUGGAGAAGCAAGCACCAUCUAAAAACCAAGUGGCUGCAACCCCCCUGGGAGCACCAGCUGCUCCAUCUUCAAGCCCAGAAUCCCCCGUAGUGUACCUGAAGGAUGUGGUGUGUUACCUCUCCCUGCUGGAGACGGGGAGACCUCAAGACAAACUAGAGUUCAUGUUUCGUCUCUAUGACUCAGAUGAGAACGGACUCCUGGACCAAGCGGAGAUGGAUCGCAUUGUCAAUCAAAUGCUGCAUAUUGCCCAGUAUCUGGAGUGGGAUCCCACGGAGCUAAGGCCUAUAUUGAAGGAGAUGUUGCAAGGGAUGGACUACGACCGGGACGGCUUUGUGUCUCUACAGGAGUGGGUCCACGGAGGGAUGACCACUAUCCCCUUGCUGGUCCUCCUGGGGAUGGAUGACUCUGGCUCAAAAGGGGACGGGAGGCAUGCCUGGACCAUGAAGCAUUUUAAGAAGCCAACCUACUGCAACUUCUGCCACAUCAUGCUGAUGGGGGUGCGGAAGCAAGGCCUCUGCUGCAUUUAUUGUAAAUACACUGUCCAUGAGCGCUGUGUAUCCAAAAACAUUCCUGGGUGUGUCAAAACGUGCUCAAAAGCCAAAAGGAGCGGCGAGGUGAUGCAGCACGCGUGGGUGGAAGGGAACUCCUCCGUCAAGUGUGACCGGUGCCACAAAAGUAUCAAGUGCUACCAGAGUGUCACCGCGCGGCACUGCGUGUGGUGCCGGAUGACGUUUCACCGCAAAUGUGAAUUAUCGACGUUGUGUGAUGGUGGGGAGCUCAGAGACCAUAUUUUGCUGCCCACCUCGAUAUGUCCUGUCACCAGGGACAGACAAGGUGGAAAGUCUGAUGGCAGUACGGCAGCCAAGGGCGAGCUUGUAAUGCAGUAUAAGAUCAUCCCCACCCCGGGCACCCACCCACUGCUGGUCUUGGUGAAUCCCAAGAGUGGAGGGAGACAAGGAGAAAGAAUUCUUCGGAAAUUCCACUACCUGCUCAACCCCAAACAAGUUUUCAACCUGGACAAUGGGGGACCUACUCCAGGCUUGAACUUCUUCCGUGAUACUCCAGACUUCCGUGUUCUGGCCUGUGGAGGAGAUGGGACAGUUGGCUGGAUCUUGGAUUGCAUUGAUAAGGCAAAUUUUGCAAAGCAUCCACCAGUGGCUGUCCUGCCUCUUGGAACAGGAAAUGACCUUGCCCGAUGUCUCCGUUGGGGAGGAGGUUAUGAAGGGGGCAGCUUGACAAAAAUCCUGAAGGACAUCGAGCAAAGCCCCUUGGUGAUGCUGGACCGUUGGUAUCUGGAAGUCAUCCCCAGAGAGGAGGUGGAGAACGGGGACCAGGUUCCAUACAGCAUCAUGAACAACUAUUUUUCCAUUGGCGUGGAUGCUUCCAUUGCACACAGAUUCCACAUGAUGAGAGAGAAACACCCUGAAAAAUUCAACAGCAGGAUGAAGAACAAGCUGUGGUACUUUGAAUUUGGUACCUCGGAGACCUUUGCAGCCACCUGCAAGAAACUUCACGACCACAUUGAGUUGGAGUGUGACGGAGUGGAGGUGGACCUGAGCAACAUCUUCCUUGAAGGCAUUGCCAUUCUCAACAUUCCCAGCAUGUAUGGAGGCACCAAUCUCUGGGGAGAAACCAAGAAGAACAGGGCUGUGAUCCGGGAAAGCAGAAAGAGCAUCACUGACCCUAAGGAACUGAAAUUCUGUGUCCAAGACCUCAGUGACCAGCUCCUUGAAGUGGUGGGGCUUGAGGGAGCCAUGGAGAUGGGGCAGAUCUACACCGGCCUGAAGAGUGCGGGCAGGAGGUUGGCCCAGUGUUCCUCUGUCACCAUCAGGACUAACAAGCUGCUGCCCAUGCAAGUGGAUGGAGAGCCCUGGAUGCAGCCAUGUUGCACGAUUAAAAUUACUCACAAGAACCAAGCACCCAUGAUGAUGGGACCUCCCCAGAAGAGCAGCUUCUUUUCACUGAGGAGGAAGAGCCGUUCAAAAGACUAACCAGUGUGCCAAACGCCAGCUAACCCAAGAGAGAAAACAAGAGACUGUAACUACAUGCACAUACACACACACUUACACAAACACGCACACACACACACACACACACACACACACACUUCUCUAAUUAGUGGAAGCAAAACUACCCUUCUGGAAGAAAAUUUCACCUUCCAUACAGUUUAUUUCAAAAAAAUGGAUACAUCCCUAACAGAGCCAGUGCCCAGAACAUUUUGAAAAGACUUAGGCCCACCAGGGUGGGUUGGCUCAUGCAGCGACCUCCAAAUUCCCACAGGCCUUGGGGAAUUGGGGAGAACUUUCUGAGACUGAAGGAGAAAUCUCUUUCUUUUCACCAGCUCUACAAGUUUCCUCACAGUCGCUCGCUGCUCGUGAGGAGCAGGCUGCAGGUUUCCUGGUAUGGUGAGACGAGAUCGGAUGUGGUGGAGGGAAAGAGCUCCGUUCCAGAGAACUUGCACAAAGGUCCUUCUGUACAGAGACAUACCAGCCUGGAGCUCUCUGCACAUAAUCCUUGGCAGGGCUCAGCAGGCGCUCGAUGGUCUCUUGGUUGUCCUUUGAGCGACAGCUUCUCCCCAGACUUGCUGAGAAGGCAGGAAGGCUGUGGAAAGCUGUGUUUCCAUUCCUGGGUUCUCUACCCCAUCGGUGGGCACUUGUUCAUUUCCCCAAGCCUUCUCCUGGUGGCUGGGUGUUUGUUUAGAGACGGCUCCAAGAGCCCCCUGAGCUGCCUGUGCAGCAUGCCUUAGAUGUGGUAUUUAUUUUCUUAGUUCUGUGAACACCUGGGAGGGAAAGUGGAGAAACUGGGAUUUAUUUUUUAAACUGGUGUCAUAAUCUUGUAUAAAAAGGGAAAGAAAAAAAAAACACCCCCAGUUUCUUUUCUUCCUGAGCCAAAGCGUGUUUCCUGUUGAGUUCCGAGCCCUGGUGGCAGACUAUUUCCCGAAGGCAGAGAAGAUGAGAGGACAGGACUGUGCUGGGGACAGGAAGACAGUCCAUCAGGCAGUUCCCAUCACCUCUCCGCACUUCCCACCCUCAGAUUCUGACCUGAAGGACCUUCUCAUGGUCUUAUGUGUGUAUAUAUGUAGCAUAUAUAUUUAUAUAUAACAUAUAAAUAUUUAUUUACGGCUGGACUUUUUCUGAUUGGAAAUAAACACAGGUAAUAUAAGAAUAGAAAGCGGGAAAGGAACCUUCCACCAUUUCAUUGUCAACACCUUUCCUCGUGCUGAUCAUAAUGUUUAAGGGAAAUGGAAGGAUGUCCUUGUCGUGAAGAGAACUCCUAUUCUGGAUCAUCAAAACCGCCAUGAAAGAUAUGCUGGGCAGGUUUACUCUCCCAUUUGUGAGAUAAGGAAAUAGAGAAAAGUAGAGAGACAGCUCCAUGGUCUCUUGGCUAAUGUGUUUUGAGAGUAGGUGCCACUAAGAAGACAAUUACUAGAGGAAAGAACCCACACAGCUGGGAAUAGGGUCAUUUCUGGUCUCUGAGAAGUGAUUCCACUUGGAUCCAGGGUGCCAGGGGAAAAUGAGCAUGCAGCAUAUGUGUGGAUGGGACAACCCCAGGUGAGAGAUCGGGGCCUUGGUGUGCUUCCAAAAGUUCUCUCUGACCUAACCUGGAGAGAAGUUGGUCUGAAGUUGAAGACAUGAGACAGAUCAUCACAUUGAACCCUCCACAUAUCUCCUCAUCAUGGUCACCAGAAUCCCUUCAUUUGGAAACACUUUGGCCGCAGGAAAAGCCACAGUGAAAAGUCACAAGCAGGACUGAGGCACCUUCUGCAAGGUGCUACCAGCCAGGACAGAGGGGUGUCAGCAGAGCUCAGUUGGCUUCAUUCACCUGGCUCCGGCAUUACCUCCCCUUCCUAAGGGCAACUAUGCAGCACUUCAUCGGUGGAAAACAACAGUUCCUGUACCCAUUAGCUCACUGGGACUUCCAUUCUCUCAGAUUUCUCAAGAGAAAAUAUGAGCUACUUGACAUCAUUCCAAUGAGCUGCUUUUAAUCUCCUUGCAUUGGGCCAGGAGCUUUGGACAAGGAAGACAAUGUGCACAAAUGGAGCCCACCUCUGAAGGAAGUAAUCUUCUAGGACCAUCUUGGACUGAGAUAUGAGACCAUCCUGCGCAAAUAACAGUGCAGAAAUGCUGAGCAAGGGGAAGAGCAGGUCACCUGAAGAAUAUCCUUACUGAUGGAAUCCUAUGUGGUGUGACCAACAAGCUCCAGAAUGACUACAGAUGGCAAGAAGCAGGUGACCCAGCUACAGAGAAGAGGCUUCACAGCAAGUUGCUGACCCAGCUUCCAGCACAGCUGUCCUCCUCCAUAGAAUGGGAAGAAGUAAACUUUUAUGCUUCUCUGUGCCAUUGACCUUAAGGCUUGAAAACAAGUGAGAGCCUUCUAUCUUGGAAAAGUUGGUCAAAUGCUCCAUGGAAGUUGUUGGGGAAAGGAGCCAAUCCACAUCCCAUGAGGGGAUGAGGGAUGAAGCCCUGCCUAGAAAAACAAGAGCAACAUGGGGAGUAGGCUACAGUCCUAUCUCAGCCUUGUGGUCUUGGACAUGACCUUUAGCCUUCUGAGACCUCUCUUUCUACCACCUAUUAAGUGAGGGAGCUCUAAAGACCAUCCUGCAUCAGUGAUUUUGCCUCCCCCUGGGAUAAAUGCUGCAGCCAUAGGAGAGAAGGCAGGUUCCUUGUCCUCUUGGGUUUCCCACCAGACCCAAGGCUUCCCCCAGCCCUGCUGACACUGAAGGGCUCCUCCUAGCCCCUCAGCCAAGAAUCGACUUUCUUUUCCUCUUGACAAUCGAAUAUAUUUGGAAACCAGUUCAUUUGGGAAGCCCAAUAUGAAACACCACAAAGAAACUCUUCAGUAAGCCCUCCACCUACACACACACACACACACACACACACACACACACACACCAAAUCCUGAAAUGUAAGUGUUUUCCCUUUUGUGUACCAAACUUCUUUUGGCCCUUUCUACUUGCCAACAAGUUGGGAGAGAGUUCAAUCCCACAAGAAAACGCAUUGCUCCCAUUAGGGAACUCACAAAUCCCACAUGUUUGGGGGUGACCCUGGGCACAGCUAAAGAUCCUAACACACUUCAACUGCAAUCUAUAAAUGCAGACUUUACCAGCCAAGACUGCAGCAGAAACUAAUUAGCACAGUGCCAGGGUCCUUCCCUCCCUGCUCUCCCACCUCCACUCCCUCCCCCACCAUGGACAUGUUGUUCCCUAACAGCGGUUGCCUGCUCAAGCCUGCCUGUCUGCCUGCACAGAGUGCUGUGGACUUGUUCUGUAAUGCACUGUGUGUGUGUGUGUGUGUGUGUGUGUGUGUGUGUGUGUGUCCUGACUCUGUGGUUUACUGCAAAUAAAAAUGACAGCAGAUGAUUGGCCCCUGA
This is an RNA transcript of Ictidomys tridecemlineatus (thirteen-lined ground squirrel), 6502 nucleotides long. It is a transcript of the gene named diacylglycerol kinase gamma, with no coding region annotated. The record is from RefSeq and is a predicted model, not a curated record. NCBI's taxonomy places the organism in Eukaryota, Metazoa, Chordata, Mammalia, Rodentia, Sciuridae.